AAAAUGUGCACAUCUCACGCAAAUAGCUACUGAGAUUGUUGCAACUCUGCAGGUAUCUCUCCUUAUCUUCAUUUUCUGAGUGUUCAGAGCUCACUGUCCACCACUCAAAUGGCUCUGACCAUAACCAAUGAUGGUGCCACGAGAAACUACACCAAUGGAGAUAGAGAUGGAGAAGAAAGAGAUGGCUUGUAAAGCUUCAACUCCCAUAUCAAUUUAGAGGCCUUCUUCCUCCACCUGAUCUUCGCCCUAGGGCUAGUCCUAGCUUUCUGUAUUGCUCGUUAUAUCUACUCCACCGAUCUCAUCUCUAAUCCUUCUCGCACUCCCUUCUUGAUUUUGGUCGUUGAAUGUUCGAUUGUGAUUCUUCUAUACAGUCGGUAUCGUUCGGACCGACAGCAUUGCUCGGUAUACUUGACUCUUAUAGAUUAUUUCAUUUUAGUCUGUUUGUUCAUAAUAAAAUGUAUCGAGUGUUUUGAAACAAGAUAACGGAUUACUGAUAACUCUUCAGGUCGUUGAAUGUCCUUAUUCUUUCUAACUUUACCUGAUUAUGAUUUAAAGCUUGGGUCUGGAGGCUCCCAGUUAAUGUUAUUAUUGUUGUUGUUUUCUUAAAUCGAUUGUUUUUACGUGGAAAUAAUUCGUGUUAUUUGAAGAGAAGGGAAGGGAAGAGAAGUGAAAUAAGCUUGUUUUCGAGCGGCAUUGAUGGAAGCUAAAUCUUUUGAUGCUUGUCUUUCAUCGAAGCAAAUUUAUCCAAAUUAUAAAAUAUUUUGUUUCUCAUUAGUGAUCGCCCCCUCCCAUCCCUGCUUAGAUUAUGACUUAUCUUCUUCAUGUUAGGUGGGUUUUAUAUGUACAUGAAGAUUAUCAGAGAAUAUGCCUUUCAACCUUUAGAAAUAUUAACUUUCCAUUGAUAUUAGAGAACUUAUAAGCUAUCACUUCCUAAAGAAUGCAACAAAAAUAGCAAAGAGAACUUUUCCAGGUUGCAUUUAUGCUGCUAAGAAAAAAAAAAGAAGACCUGUCUGAAUAACAAGCUAGUGUAGAUAUUGAACAGGGACCGAGAGAAUCUGUUCUUAAUUUCUUUGCAUCUAUGGGAUUCACCUGUCCCAAGAGAAAGAAUGUUGCAGACUUCUUGCAAGAAGUAAGCAAGCAAUGUAGAGUUUGAACAGAAAAGAGGCGUAAAGAGGCGUGGGCUUCUUAAGACCAGCUUUUCAUUGCUAAAGUUGUUGAUGAAACGAAACUGAUUUAUCUACAUUUUAAAAUUUGUUCAGGUAGUAAAGCAGUUCUCUAUCAUUUUUUGUUUUACCUUUAUAUAUUUUACGCCUUAUUUGGAGAUUGAAAUAAAUCCACUUGUUAAUGUUGUGUCUGUGAUAGAUAUAACUUAUGCGACCAUUAUCAAACCAGCAAUUGAAGGAUGCCAUAUUUUUCUGUAAUGUUGUCCUCAUCGUUUCUAAUAUGUAGUUACUAUUGGUUACGAUGAUUACAAUGAGUGUCUUUUUUCGGACAACAAUGAAUCAUGACACAAUUGAUGACAGAGGACUUUAUCUUGGGGCACUCUACUUUUCCACUGCUAUCAUCCUUUUUAAUGGAUUUACAGAGGUGUCAAUGCUGGUGCCAAAACUUCCUGUAACUUACAAGCACAGGGAUUUGCACUUGUAGAAUGUCAUAACUUUGUUUCUGAUAUGCUUAUUCUGAUAGAAUUUCAAUCUCAAAGUUCUUAAUUGUUUCUGAUUAGUAUAGAAUGUUUAAUCUGUUUUUAGCUGAUCUUGGUGGAUGGACCCGGAUUGUUGUGGAGAAACCUUUUCACAAGGACUUGGCAUCUGCGGAGAAGUUAAGUUCCCAAAUUGGAGAAUUUUUUAAAGUUGUGUACUAAUGCUUGUUUUUUCUUUUGCCCCUGCAUUUUUUUCCUUGUAGAUCGUGUUCAAGGAGGAUUUUGGUACUGCGGGGCAUGGUGGAUAUUUUGAUAAAUAUGGGUAUGAUCUUUGUCCUUUGAUUUACCCUACUAAGCAUAUGAAAACUUUAUGUGUGAAGCUAAAUCUCUAAAUAUUUUGAUAUUUUAUGUUGUUGAAUAUAUAAAAAUUUGGGGCAUGGAAGUGAUUUAGGAAGGGCUGUUCAAGCUACUGGCUUUUCCAAACGACUGCUAUUCAAGUAUAUGUAUCUAUCGUUUUUGUUAUUCAAUUUUAUUAUCUUUUUUUUUUCAAGUUUAUAUAUAAAGUAAACACCUGCUUUUAUAUAGGAGCAUUAGUUUCUUCCAAAAUUUUAAUGUACUUGCAAUGGUAUAUUAUUUCAUUGAUGUAGGUGCUUAAAGCGAUGAGUUCAAGGUGGCCCACGUUAUUCUUGUGGAGGAAGGGGCAUAGUGAGUGAGAUUUGGCUAGGAUUACUUUAUACAGGAUUGAUAUAUGUAUAAUCUUUUUAAUUGUUCUUAGAGGAGAUAGGGGUUGUUGAUUGUACAAUACUUUAUGAGGUUGUAAUAUUGACAAUGUUAAAGAAGUGAAAUUUUUUUAAAGAAAUAUUGGUGGAAAUUUGGUAGA
Benincasa hispida (wax gourd) is the source of this 2519-nucleotide long non-coding RNA. RefSeq lists it as uncharacterized. NCBI's taxonomy places the organism in Eukaryota, Viridiplantae, Streptophyta, Magnoliopsida, Cucurbitales, Cucurbitaceae. The record is from RefSeq and is a predicted model, not a curated record.